Molecule: ribosomal RNA, 374 nt
Filed under: uncultured eukaryote
Lineage: Eukaryota
Description: partial 18S ribosomal RNA
Rfam family: Eukaryotic small subunit ribosomal RNA
Source: RNAcentral
CAAUAGCGUAUAUUUAAGUUGUUGCAGUUAAAAAGCUCGUAGUUGGAUUUCUGCUGAUCGCUGUCGGUCUGCCGUCAGGUGUGUACUGGCAGUGUUUGGCAUCUAUUCGAGAUUGGGUGUCCACUUGAUUGUGUGCACUCGAUGUCGGAGCUAAUACUUUGAGAAAAUUAGAGUGUUCCACGCAGGCGCGUGCCUCGAAUACUGCAGCAUGGGAUAUUGGAAGGCCGAUUGAGCUUUCUUGUUGGUUCUCGGUUUGAUCGGAAUGAUUAAUAGGGAUAGUUGGGGGCAUUCGUAUUCAACUGUCAGAGGUGAAAUUCUUGGAUUUGUUGAAGACGGACUACUGCGAAAGCAUCUGCCAUGGAUGUUCUCAUUGA